AUUGAACGCUGGCGGCAGGCCUAACACAUGCAAGUCGAGCGAGCGGCGGACGGGUGAGUAAUGUAUGGGGACUGCCCGAUGGAGGGGGAUAACUACUGGAAACGGUAGCUAAUACCGCAUACUAUCGGAUAACCCAGAUGGGAUUAGCUAGUAGGUGAGGUAAGGGCUCACCUAGGCGACGAUCCCUAGCUGGUCUGAGAGGAUGAUCAGCCACACUGGGACUGAGACACGGCCCAGACUCCUACGGAGGCAGCAGUGGGGAAUAUUGCACAAUGGGCGCAAGCCUGAUGCAGCCAUGCCGCGUGUAUGAAGAAGGCCCUCGGGUUGUAAAGUACUUUCAGGCGGGAGGCGUUACCGACAGAAGAAGCACCGGCUAACUCCGUGCCAGCAGCCGCGGUAAUUC
RNAcentral lists this ribosomal RNA (403 nucleotides) under uncultured bacterium. RNAcentral describes it as "partial 16S ribosomal RNA". It matches the Rfam family "Bacterial small subunit ribosomal RNA", at positions 30 to 526 of the family's 1533-position model. The record is from RNAcentral.